Molecule: ribosomal RNA, 969 nt
Filed under: uncultured archaeon
Lineage: Archaea
Description: bacterial SSU rRNA
Rfam family: Archaeal small subunit ribosomal RNA
Source: RNAcentral
ACGGCUCAGUAACACGUCGAUAAUCUGCCCUUGGGUCCUGGAUAACCUUGGGAAACUGAGGCUAAGCCAAGAUAGGGGAAUUAUACUGGAAUGUUUUUUCCCCGAAAGGCAACGCCCAAGGAUGAGUUGGCGGCGGAUUAGCUUGUUGGUGGGGUAAUGGCCCACCAAGGCAUUGAUCCGUAGGGGCCUUGGAAGAGGUAGCCCCGAGAAGGACACUGAGAUACUGGUCCUAGCCCCACGGGGUGCAGCAGGCGCGAAAACUUUACACUACACGCAAGUGUGAUAAGGGGAUUCCAAGUGCCUGUACACAGUACAGGCUUUUAUUGAGAGCAAAUUUCUCGAUGAAUAAGUGGUGGGUAAGACCGGUGCCAGCAGCCGCGGUAAUCCCGGCGCCACAAGUGGGGACCAUGGUUAUUGGGCCUAAAGCGUUCGUAGCAGGUCGGAUAAAUCUCUUGUGAAAUCGUUGGGCUUAACCUAACGGCGUGCAGGAGAGACUGUUCGACUAGAGACCGGGAGGGGUUGGAGGUAUUCCUUGGGGAGCGGUAAAAUGCUAUAAUCCUUGGAAGACCACCUGUGGCGAAGGCGUCCAACCAGAACGGGUCUGACUGUGAGGGACGAAAGCUAGGGGAGCAAUCCGGAUUAGAUACCCGAGUAGUCCUGGCUGUAAACUCUGCGAGCAAGGUGUUGCAUAUUCUACAUGAAUAUGCAGUGUCGAAGAGAAGUCGUUAAGCUCGCCGCCUGGGAAGUACGGUCGCAAGACUGAAACUUAAAGGAAUUGGCGGGGGAGCACUACAAGGGGUGCGGCGUGCGGUUUAAUUGAACUCAACACCGGAAAUCUCACCAGGAACGACGGCAGGAUGAAGGUCAGUCUAAAGGGCUUACCCAACAAGCCGAGAGGUGGUGCAUGGCCGUCGUCAGCUCGUGCCGUGAGGUGUCAUGUUAAGUCAUGCAACGAGCGAGACCCCCACC